CAGCCGCCACGGGAAUACAGAGGGUGCGAGCGUUAAUCGGAUUUACUGGGCGUAAAGCGUGCGUAGGUGGUGGUUUAAGUCCGUUGUGAAAGCCCUGGGCUCAACCUGGGAAUUGCAGUGGAUACUGGGUCACUAGAGUGUGGUAGAGGAUAGUGGAAUUUCCGGUGUAGCAGUGAAAUGCGUAGAGAUCGGAAGGAACAUCUGUGGCGAAGGCGACUAUCUGGGCCAACACUGACACUGAGGCACGAAAGCGUGGGGAGCAAACAGGAUUAGAUACCCCUGUAGUCCCUGUCUCUUAUAC
RNAcentral lists this ribosomal RNA (301 nucleotides) under uncultured bacterium. RNAcentral's name for it is "partial 16S ribosomal RNA". It matches the Rfam family "Bacterial small subunit ribosomal RNA", at positions 509 to 807 of the family's 1533-position model. The record is from RNAcentral.